RNAcentral lists this ribosomal RNA (506 nucleotides) under uncultured bacterium. Its description in RNAcentral is "partial 16S ribosomal RNA". It matches the Rfam family "Bacterial small subunit ribosomal RNA", at positions 28 to 523 of the family's 1533-position model. The record is from RNAcentral.
GAUGAACGCUAGCUACAGGCUUAACACAUGCAAGUCGAGGGGUAACGAGAGGGAAGCUUGCUUUCCUUGUCGACGACCGGCGCACGGGUGAGUAACGCGUAUCCAACCUGCCCCCAACUAAGGAAUAACCUUGCGAAAGUAAGACUAAUACCCUAUAAUUUCCUCAGAUGACAUCUGACGAGGAAUAAAGAUUUAUCGGUUGUGGAUGGGGAUGCGUCUGAUUAGCUUGUUGGCGGGGUAACGGCCCACCAAGGCAACGAUAAGUAGGGGUUCUGAGAGGAAGGUCCCCCACAUUGGGACUGAGACACGGUCCAAACUCCUACGGGAGGCCGCAGUGAGGAAUAUUGGUCAAUGGGCGGAAGCCUGAACCAGCCAAGUAGCGUGCAGAAUGACGGCCCUAUGGGUUGUAAACUGCUUUUAUACAGGAAUAAAGUUAGCCACGUGUGGUUAUUUGUAGGUACUGUAUGAAUAAGGACCGGCUAAUUCCGUGCCAGCCGCCGCGGUAA